This 500-nucleotide ribosomal RNA is filed under the name uncultured bacterium. RNAcentral's name for it is "partial 16S ribosomal RNA". It matches the Rfam family "Bacterial small subunit ribosomal RNA", at positions 28 to 507 of the family's 1533-position model. The record is from RNAcentral.
GACGAACGCUGGCGGCGUGCUUAACACAUGCAAGUCGAACGGGCCUGUCUUCUUUUUUGGGGGGUGGGUUGAGUGGCGAACGGGUGAGUAUCACGUGAGUAACCUGCCCUUCGGUCCUGGAUAACCGCUUGAAAGGGCGGCUAAUACGGGGUGGUCCGGUUGGUCCGCAUGGGCUGGUCGGGAUAGAUUCACUGUUUUUGGUGUUUCGGCGGGGGAUGGGCUCGCGGCCUAUCCGCUUGUUGGUGGGGUGAUGGCCUACCAAGGCGGUGACGGGUAGCCGGCCUGAGAGGGUGGGCGGCCACACUGGGACUGAGAUACGGCCCAGACUCCUGCGGGAGGCAGCAGUGGGGGGUAUUGCACAAUGGGCGGAAGCCUGAUGCAGCGACGUCGCGUGAGGGAUGGAGGCCUUCGGGUUGUGAACCUCUGUUUCCGGUGGUGAAGGCCCUGUCCGUGUGGUGGGGUUGACGGUAGCCGGGGAUGAAGCGCCGGCUAACUACGUG